RNAcentral lists this ribosomal RNA (632 nucleotides) under uncultured bacterium. Its description in RNAcentral is "bacterial SSU rRNA". It matches the Rfam family "Bacterial small subunit ribosomal RNA", at positions 56 to 684 of the family's 1533-position model. The record is from RNAcentral.
UGCAGUCGAGCGGUAGAGAGAAGCUUGCUUCUCUUGAGAGCGGCGGACGGGUGAGUAAUGCCUAGGAAUCUGCCUGGUAGUGGGGGAUAACGUCCGGAAACGGACGCUAAUACCGCAUACGUCCUACGGGAGAAAGCAGGGGACCUUCGGGCCUUGCGCUAUCAGAUGAGCCUAGGUCGGAUUAGCUAGUUGGUGGGGUAAUGGCUCACCAAGGCGACGAUCCGUAACUGGUCUGAGAGGAUGAUCAGUCACACUGGAACUGAGACACGGUCCAGACUCCUACGGGAGGCAGCAGUGGGGAAUAUUGGACAAUGGGCGAAAGCCUGAUCCAGCCAUGCCGCGUGUGUGAAGAAGGUCUUCGGAUUGUAAAGCACUUUAAGUUGGGAGGAAGGGCAGUAAAUUAAUACUUUGCUGUUUUGACGUUACCGACAGAAUAAGCACCGGCUAACUCUGUGCCAGCAGCCGCGGUAAUACAGAGGGUGCAAGCGUUAAUCGGAAUUACUGGGCGUAAAGCGCGCGUAGGUGGUUCGUUAAGUUGGAUGUGAAAUCCCCGGGCUCAACCUGGGAACUGCAUUCAAAACUGACGAGCUAGAGUAUGGUAGAGGGUGGUGGAAUUUCCUGUGUAGCGGUGA